RNAcentral lists this long non-coding RNA (758 nucleotides) under Helianthus annuus (common sunflower). Lineage: Eukaryota; Viridiplantae; Streptophyta; Magnoliopsida; Asterales; Asteraceae. The record is from RNAcentral.
AUGUGACAACCCGAAGUUUCAAGGUCAGUGUCUUCGAUUCCGUUCUUGUUUUAAAUCUAUUUAUUCAACCCGUGACCCUGUUUAGCGUGCUAGUAUAUGUUUGGUAGUUGUGUGGUGCGUGUGUGUGUAACGGGCCAAUCUCUAGGUUGUGCUUACAACUCGGUCGUAGCGUAUAAUUGGUCCGCAAUGUGAAUUUUGACUUAGAAACCCGUUGACAUAAGUGAUCGGACUUGGCCCAAUCUUGGCGAGUAGCAUCAAUAAACAACCGGCCCAAAAUGACUGUUUUGGGUCAGCAAGUAUAAUCGGCCCAAGCUAUUGUCUUGAUUUGCAAAAACAAUCGGCCCAAAACACCAAUUGUUUAGCAAAUACAAGUGGCCCAGUUCCUUGGCCAUUUAUCUACCUGUGUACGUGAACUAGGGUGAUCGCAAACCCUACUUCUUCUUCCUGGAAUUGUGAACGGCAGUAGAGCACCCCCCCCCUUGUCGUGACCGGGUCAUCAUUGUUAGAUUCUCCAUACUAUCUUGAGGAUAAUGGUCUGAUGAGUAUGAUGGGAGUAUUUGAUCCACUGUAAAUCAACUAUACACAAGUAACGUAACCUACCGAGCACUCUAAGGUCGUUAGGUACUUGAAAAACAGGAACUUGCUGGCUGGAGGGCGAGAGUGGUCAUGGUUGCAUUGAUGGAUUUAUUUAUGAGACAUUUAUUUGCUAUGAUUGUUUGGAUAACAUUUAUUUUAUGAUACAUUAACGCUUUCGCUGA